CGCAAGACCGCGAGGUUUAGCAAAUCUCUUAAAGCCGUUCUCAGUUCGGAUUGUAGGCUGCAACUCGCCUACAUGAAGUCGGAAUCGCUAGUAAUCGCGGAUCAGCAUGCCGCGGUGAAUACGUUCCCGGGCCUUGUACACACCGCCCGUCACACCAUGAGAGUUUGUAACACCCAAAGCCGGUGGGGUAACCUUUUGGAGCCAGCCGUCUAAGGUGGGACAGAUGAUUGGGGUGAAGUCGUAACAAGGUACC
Molecule: ribosomal RNA, 253 nt
Filed under: uncultured bacterium
Lineage: Bacteria
Description: partial 16S ribosomal RNA
Rfam family: Bacterial small subunit ribosomal RNA
Source: RNAcentral